GUUGAAGGUAUCCUGUGAGGGGUGCUGGAGGUAUCAGAAGUGCGAAUGCUGACAUAAGUAACGAUAAAGCGGGUGAAAAGCCCGCUCGCCGGAAGACCAAGGGUUCCUGUCCAACGUUAAUCGGGGCAGGGUGAGUCGACCCCUAAGGCGAGGCCGAAAGGCGUAGUCGAUGGGAAACGGGUUAAUAUUCCCGUACUUGGUGUUACUGCGAAGGGGGGACGGAGAAGGCUAUGUUGGCCGGGCGACGGUUGUCCCGGUUUAAGCGUGUAGGUGUGUGUUCCAGGUAAAUCCGGUUCACUUUAACACUGAGGCGUGAUGACGAGGCACCACGGUGCUGAAGCAACAAAUGCCCUGCUUCCAGGAAAAGCCUCUAAGCAUCAGGUAACAUCAAAUCGUACCCCAAACCGACACAGGUGGUCAGGUAGAGAAUACCAAGGCGCUUGAGAGAACUCGGGUGAAGGAACUAGGCAAAAUGGUGCCGUAACUUCGGGAGAAGGCACGCUGACACGUAGGUGAAGUGAUUUACUCAUGGAGCUGAAGUCAGUCGAAGAUACCAGCUGGCUGCAACUGUUUAUUAAAAACACAGCACUGUGCAAACACGAAAGUGGACGUAUACGGUGUGACGCCUGCCCGGUGCCGGAAGGUUAAUUGAUGGGGUCAGCGCAAGCGAAGCUCCUGAUCGAAGCCCCGGUAAACGGCGGCCGUAACUAUAACGGUCCUAAGGUAGCGAAAUUCCUUGUCGGGUAAGUUCCGACCUGCACGAAUGGCGUAAUGAUGGCCAGGCUGUCUCCACCCGAGACUCAGUGAAAUUGAACUCGCUGUGAAGAUGCAGUGUACCCGCGGCAAGACGGAAAGACCCCGUGAACCUUUACUAUAGCUUGACACUGAACAUUGAGCCUUGAUGUGUAGGAUAGGUGGGAGGCUUUGAAGCGUGGACGCCAGUCUGCGUGGAGCCGACCUUGAAAUACCACCCUUUAAUGUUUGAUGUUCUAACGUGGACCCGUAAUCCGGGUUGCGGACAGUGUCUGGUGGGUAGUUUGACUGGGGCGGUCUCCUCCUAAAGAGUAACGGAGGAGCACGAAGGUUGGCUAAUCCUGGUCGGACAUCAGGAGGUUAGUGCAAUGGCAUAAGCCAGCUUGACUGCGAGCGUGACGGCGCGAGCAGGUGCGAAAGCAGGUCAUAGUGAUCCGGUGGUUCUGAAUGGAAGGGCCAUCGCUCAACGGAUAAAAGGUACUCCGGGGAUAACAGGCUGAUACCGCCCAAGAGUUCAUAUCGACGGCGGUGUUUGGCACCUCGAUGUCGGCUCAUCACAUCCUGGGGCUGAAGUAGGUCCCAAGGGUAUGGCUGUUCGCCAUUUAAAGUGGUACGCGAGCUGGGUUUAGAACGUCGUGAGACAGUUCGGUCCCUAUCUGCCGUGGGCGCUGGAAGACUGAGGGGGGCUGCUCCUAGUACGAGAGGACCGGAGUGGACGCAUCACUGGUGUUCGGGUUGUCAUGCCAAUGGCACUGCCCGGUAGCUAAAUGCGGAAAAGAUAAGUGCUGAAAGCAUCUAAGCACGAAACUUGCCCC
Molecule: ribosomal RNA, 1568 nt
Filed under: Salmonella enterica
Lineage: Bacteria; Pseudomonadati; Pseudomonadota; Gammaproteobacteria; Enterobacterales; Enterobacteriaceae
Description: partial 23S ribosomal RNA
Rfam family: Bacterial large subunit ribosomal RNA
Source: RNAcentral